Molecule: ribosomal RNA, 430 nt
Filed under: uncultured bacterium
Lineage: Bacteria
Description: bacterial SSU rRNA
Rfam family: Bacterial small subunit ribosomal RNA
Source: RNAcentral
UGGGGAAUUGUUCGCAAUGGGCGCAAGCCUGACGACGCAACGCCGCGUGGAGGAUGAAGGUCUUCGGAUUGUAAACUCCUGUUGACCGGGAAGAAUGGACUUCGCUCUAACAGGGCGGAGUAAUGACGGUACCGGUUGAGGAAGCCACGGCUAACUCUGUGCCAGCAGCCGCGGUAAUACAGAGGUGGCAAGCGUUGUUCGGAAUUACUGGGCGUAAAGGGCGCGUAGGCGGCCGCCUCAGUCAGACGUGAAAUCCCCAGGCUUAACUUGGGAACUGCGUCUGAUACUGGGUGGCUCGAGUUCGGGAGAGGAAUGUGGAAUUCCAGGUGUAGCGGUGAAAUGCGUAGAUAUCUGGAGGAACACCGGUGGCGAAGGCGGCAUUCUGGACCGAAACUGACGCUGAGGCGCGAAAGCCAGGGGAGCAAACGGG